This 157-nucleotide unclassified non-coding RNA is filed under the name uncultured Sordariomycetes. RNAcentral describes it as "sequence contains ITS1". The record is from RNAcentral. Lineage: Eukaryota; Fungi; Ascomycota; Sordariomycetes.
CAGAGUUAUUUAAACUCCCAACCCUAUGUGAACCUACUUAUGUUGCCUCGGCAGGGAAGCUACCCGGUACCUACCCGGGAGCGCUUACCUGUCAAAGGACCUUCUAAACUCUUGUUUUACUGUGGCACUCUGAGCGAUUCAAAACUAAAUAAGCUAA